RNAcentral lists this ribosomal RNA (253 nucleotides) under uncultured bacterium. RNAcentral's name for it is "partial 16S ribosomal RNA". It matches the Rfam family "Bacterial small subunit ribosomal RNA", at positions 524 to 776 of the family's 1533-position model. The record is from RNAcentral.
UACGUAGGGUGCGAGCGUUGUCCGGAUUUAUUGGGCGUAAAGAGCGUGUAGGCGGCCAUGUAGGUCCGGUGUGAAAACUCGAGGCUUAACCUCGAGAUGUCAUCGGAAACCAUUUGGCUAGAGUCCGGAAGAGGAGAGUGGAAUUCCUGGUGUAGCGGUGAAAUGCGCAGAUAUCAGGAAGAACACCAAUGGCGAAAGCAGCUCUCUGGGACGGUACUGACGCUGAGACGCGAAAGCGUGGGGAGCGAACAGG